UACGGAGGGGGCUAGCGUUGUUCGGAAUUACUGGGCGUAAAGCGCACGUAGGCGGAUUGGAAAGUUGGGGGUGAAAUCCCGGGGCUCAACCCCGGAACUGCCUUCAAAACUCCCAGUCUGGAGGUCGAGAGAGGUGAGUGGAAUUCCGAGUGUAGAGGUGAAAUUCGUAGAUAUUCGGAGGAACACCAGUGGCGAAGGCGGCUCACUGGCUCGAUACUGACGCUGAGGUGCGAAAGCGUGGGGAGUAAACAGG
This 253-nucleotide ribosomal RNA is filed under the name uncultured bacterium. RNAcentral's name for it is "partial 16S ribosomal RNA". It matches the Rfam family "Bacterial small subunit ribosomal RNA", at positions 524 to 776 of the family's 1533-position model. The record is from RNAcentral.